This 82-nucleotide microRNA precursor is filed under the name Bombyx mori (domestic silkworm). Its description in RNAcentral is "mir-2807 microRNA precursor family". It matches the Rfam family "mir-2807 microRNA precursor family". Lineage: Eukaryota; Metazoa; Arthropoda; Insecta; Lepidoptera; Bombycidae. The record is from Rfam by way of RNAcentral.
UUAACUUAACUUUGGAUGGGGUCGGAACGUUUUGUCUACGUUUGCCGCUAGGGGCGCUGUUCCAACUGCAUACAAACAGUUA